CUGAUAUCCUGAUGAUUCAACAAUCAAUGCAUAGUUCAUCUGAGGCUGUGGCCUAUGAAUGAAACAAAUUUAGCAAUGUCUUUCGCUCCUAUCUGAAAUAUUUC
This 104-nucleotide small nucleolar RNA is filed under the name Phialocephala subalpina. RNAcentral's name for it is "Small nucleolar RNA snR60/Z15/Z230/Z193/J17". It matches the Rfam family "Small nucleolar RNA snR60/Z15/Z230/Z193/J17". Rfam says of the family: The members of this family belong to the C/D class of snoRNAs which contain the C (UGAUGA) and D (CUGA) box motifs. Most of the members of the box C/D family function in directing site-specific 2'-O-methylation of substrate RNAs. The family includes the yeast snoRNA snR60 (also known as Z15) and the corresponding human guide snoRNA U80 (SNORD80). Lineage: Eukaryota; Fungi; Ascomycota; Leotiomycetes; Helotiales; Mollisiaceae. The record is from Rfam by way of RNAcentral.